This 188-nucleotide unclassified non-coding RNA is filed under the name plant metagenome. RNAcentral's name for it is "partial contains small subunit ribosomal RNA and internal transcribed spacer 1". The record is from RNAcentral.
AAGUCAUAACAAGGUUUCCGAUAAGGUGGACCGUGCGGAAGGAUCAUUAAAUAAUGCCCUCUGACGCAAGUCAUUGGGUUAGAUCUGCUCUCUUCGACAAGAAGAGGGUUUCCAUACACACCGUGAAACUGUGGCUUCGGCCAUCACAAACUGUUAGUAAUGAAUGUAAUAUCAUAACAAAAACAAAA